Halichondria panicea is the source of this 1540-nucleotide long non-coding RNA. RefSeq lists it as uncharacterized. The transcript has 14 exons. The record is from RefSeq and is a predicted model, not a curated record. NCBI's taxonomy places the organism in Eukaryota, Metazoa, Porifera, Demospongiae, Suberitida, Halichondriidae.
UUAAUUAUAUCUGGCGUUAUCUUACCUCUGCUCCCUGCAUUUUGUGCAGGCUUGGUUUGGGUGUGACUUGAAUGCUUUGUCUUGGAGUUGAUUGUAAAUCGGACUCCUGUUGCUCCUAAGCAAGAGUGAAUAACAUCAAAUUUGCCUGGACUGUACAUGAUGUGCUGCAUUUAUCUAUAUCAGUGGCGUCUUUUUGAGAGAGGCUGUCGUCAAUUUCCUCCUCCUGAAAGUCAAAGCAAGAAUCUUCAUCUGAAUCUUCAUAUGGAGUGAGGCUGUGGGUAGGACUCUGCGACAGGAGGUCAAAGGCACUCUCCUCCUGGGUCAGAAUCCUCCUCUGAACUGAGGCUGUGGUUAGAACUCGGCCACGGGUCGAAGGCACUCUCCUGUGAAGGUCAGAAUCCUCCUCUGAACUGAGGUUGUGGUUAGAACUCUGCGACCGACCCUCCUCCUGUGAAGACAUCUCUUCUUUGGAGUAGGGGUGGAGUCGGACUCUUGCAGCCUGGCCUGUUCAGAGUACUCCUGUAGUUAGUAUCUCGAUGUAAGGACAUACACACCUGAUAUGGGUCUUGACGGCAGAAGCUGGAUGGCUCGGUGUCAUCAAUGUCCUAUAAUGCAAUAAAAUAUAUAUAGACAGCAGACGUACAUGUACAAACCUGAUAUGGGCUGGAUGGCUCGGUUGUUGGGGUGAGAGGUAAGAUUCCUCCUCUGGAGUGAGGCUGUGGUUAGGACUCUGCGACAGGUCAAAGGCACUCUCCUCCUGUGAAGGGUACAAACCUCUUCGUCCAUGCUGAUUGCACUGUGAAAUCUUGCUUUGCACUGAAAUCUUGCUCUCUGAUACAGCUUGCUGAGGGCACCCGCCUUAGACACGACUGACGGCUAGCCACAGGGAUCACUCGAUUAUGCAGGAGACGAUAUUGGGACCACCCCUACGUGCAAGAUUGAGGAGCGUCUCAUCAAGUCUCCACCUGUCCAUUACUGCGUGGACAGUGCUUGUGUGGGGUCUCGUCAGAAGGGAGCGGGGUCGACACCUCUAUGGACACCAUACCCCUCACCACUAUCAAACUAGGGGGCACUCCACAACUUGAGACUGUUCGGAACGAGCUACACAUCACUAAUCAGGUGAUGCAUCUGAGACCCCCCCCCCACAGAUAUGACAUACCACCGUCACUGCGGACAUUAAGACAAGCAACUUCACCAUUGUGAAGUUGGAGUCUCUCCUGCCCGCAUGCGUACGACCUGACCUACCAGCACUGGACCCAGAGGCAGAGGAAGUGGAUUGAUAGAGAGUGAGGGGACGAGGGGAGUGGGCGGGCACAGAAGGUGGGCGCUCUCUACAGUGACACCCUUAGGUCUAUAUUCACCACUUUAUUGUAUUUAUGGACUGAUUUUGUGUGCUUACUGCUAUUAAAUUGUUCGUAUAACGUUAUUGAAUUAUUGUUAUUUGUGAACGGUAAUACCGUAUAGCUGGUAAUCUUCGUGGGGCAAAAUAUUCGUGGUUUUUGUGGUUGGAGGUCUGACCAUGAAUAUUUUACCCACGAAU